RNAcentral lists this ribosomal RNA (80 nucleotides) under Lepomis gibbosus (pumpkinseed sunfish). RNAcentral's name for it is "partial 16S ribosomal RNA". Lineage: Eukaryota; Metazoa; Chordata; Actinopteri; Centrarchiformes; Centrarchidae. The record is from RNAcentral.
UGUCUUUGGUUGGGGCGACCGCGGGGAACCAAAAAACCCCCACGUGGACUGGAAUUAUGCAAUUCCACAACUAAGAGCCC